This 503-nucleotide ribosomal RNA is filed under the name uncultured bacterium. RNAcentral describes it as "partial 16S ribosomal RNA". It matches the Rfam family "Bacterial small subunit ribosomal RNA", at positions 28 to 523 of the family's 1533-position model. The record is from RNAcentral.
GAUGAACGCUAGCGACAGGCCUAACACAUGCAAGUCGAGGGGCAGCACAUGAGUAGCAAUACGAUGGUGGCGACCGGCGCACGGGUGAGUAACACGUAUGCAACCUACCGGUAAAAGGGGGAUAGCCUCUCGAAAGAGAGAUUAAUACCGCAUCAUAUCUCUGGAUGGCAUCAUUUAGAGAUUAAACAUUUAUGGUUUACCGAUGGGCAUGCGUAUGAUUAGCUAGUAGGUGAGGUAACGGCUCACCUAGGCAACGAUCAUUAGGGGUUCUGGGAGGAAGGUCCCCCACACGGGUACUGAGACACGGACCAGACUCCUACGGGAGGCAGCAGUGAGGAAUAUUGGUCAAUGGGCGAGAGCCUGAACCAGCCAAGUCGCGUGAAGGAUGAAGGUUUUAUGGAUUGUAAACUUCUUUUGUAAGGGAAUAAAAAGAGCUACGUGUAGUUUAUUGUAUGUACUUUACGAAUAAGGAUCGGCUAACUCCGUGCCAGCAGCCGCCGUAA